Molecule: long non-coding RNA, 2151 nt
Organism: Hordeum vulgare subsp. vulgare (domesticated barley)
Lineage: Eukaryota; Viridiplantae; Streptophyta; Magnoliopsida; Poales; Poaceae
Exons: 4
Source: RefSeq, a predicted model, not a curated record
CUAGGUGCCACAUGCCUGGUCGCUGGUCAUCCUCACAAUAGCCGUCGGUUUGGUGCUUAGCCCCUCCUUCUUCAUGUACGCAAGCCAGAUGAAGUGGUCUUAGCUAGACAGACCUAGCGGGUGAAGCUAAUCUAUGGUGUGUGGGAAAGGAUGGCAUGCAAAUGCUUGCACAUAGUGGGAUAGCAGAUCCAGACCCAUGUACUUUGUUCUUCCCGUAGUAGUUCUCCUGUACUCCCGUGCUUAUCACUGAAUCUUCACUUUUUCCUUUGUCCCCAUAUGGUUGCAGACAGACCUAGCGGGUGAAGCUAGCUUGAUUGGUGCUUUCCAAGCAAGACUGUUGUGUUGCGUUUCACAUCUAGGCAUGAAUGUAACAAAGGUUUGUGCGAUGCGUAGUUGUAACAUUAUCAUGACAAUCAUUGGUAUGCGUGAAAGCAAGGUUUUUGAAGGAGAAUCUCUAGAACCAAGACAGCGUUGUACAAAGGGGAGUGUUGCGAACCGACUAAACCUGUACCGUCAUUAGCGAACCGUCAUUAGGAUGUGAUUAGUCCGUUAUUAGUCUAAGCGUCGUACUGACGCGUCCGUACGGGCGCCUUUUGUACAGACGCCUUUUACUCGUGUCACAAAUUCUUGUAUAUAUAUUUUAGAUCAAUGACAGAGAGAUGAUUCGCACAACACUUUGCUUUUCAUUCCUAAACAGGUAGGACCAACUAUCGGGAAAGGUAGGGUGUAUGCCGACUGAAAAUGUGUCGGGAAGUAAAUAACUGUCGGCAAUACUUUCGCUCAUAGCAAGUUCUCUGACUGUUCCGCCUUGUGUUAGCAUUGUUGUUAGCUACAACUCAUGUGUCGGUAAAGGUACCCUAUGCCGACAUAUUGGUGUGUCACGAAAGCUUUACCGUGGUGUAGUGUUCCCAUGUAUAUAUACUUCGUGUUUGAUGUAUCAUUAGUUGAGAAAAGAGCAAUAAACAAAGAAAAAAGUGGUGUAGUGUUCCAUGUAUAUAUACUUCGAGUGUUUGAUGUAUCAUUAGUUGAGAAAAGAGCAAUAAACAAAGAAAAAAGUGGCAUGAGACGUGCCAUUGGUCCUAUCAUUUUUUGUGCGCGUGUACAUUUGUUUUAGAACUUUUGCCAAGAAAAAAGAAAACUUAAAUAUGACAAGUGCAUGAGCCAAGUAAGCUGGACAUGUUGUACAUUAUUUUCAGGAUUCAAAAAAUGAAGGCCAACGUUUUGGCGAAACAUUGAUUAAUUUUCGUUUUGCCAAAUUUCUCGCAUUCAAUAUGUUCAUUUUUUUUAGCAAAGAUCAUGCCAAAUGCUUCUGUUCAUUUUCACCCUUUGUUAAUAAUAAUAAUAAGUGCCUCACAUGAUUCAUGAAGAUCAUGGUGCAUCCAACGUGCCAAAUCUGCAUUGGUGAUUGUUUGGACACUUGGAAACUGCAAAGGAUUUUAGAAUCUUUUUGAAGGAGGGGUUCAAGAAAUCGGUGGUAACGGUCUUUAAAUUCAGCAUGUAGUUAUAACCAUUUUGCAUUCAUUUACUUUCAUUACCACUAAUUUGGUUCGCGUUUUACAUAAUUGUUGCAUAGUGUGUCCCAUGCAAUGCAAGGGUGAAAUUUAACAAUGCAAUAGGUGAUACUUUGCUCUUUAAGGAUCAUAAGGGGUGGUCAUUUCAAGUUGAAGUGAAGAAAGGAAAGCAGAAAACCAUGACAUGCGGCGAUGGAUGGAUGAAGUACAUUUCAAAAAAUAAGCUGAACGGGUGAGAGUACAUAGCCUUUUACUUAGAAGGGUCGGUCAACAGGUUAAGGAUUAUCUAUUUCUGCAACCAAGAUGAUGAGGAUGGUGAAGAUGAUCAGCAUGAUGAGAAUAGUGAGGAUGAUGAUGAUGAUGAGGAUAGUCAGGAUGAUUAUAAUGAUGUUCCAUUUAAUUCUCCAAUUUUCUCUCAAAGAAUGAAGAAGCAUACACACAAUGAGAGGAACAAUCUCUUGGCGGUCCUACCACCAACUGAGAACUACAUGGGAGUGCCCCUUGUGCACUGUUUAACCAAGACAAACAUCGUCAAACAUGUCAUGUUUCUAUUAUUUCUUCUCUUUUUUGUUUAUGUAACACUAAAAUAGAGCAAACCUUGUAUUGUCUAAUCAUUGUGAUCAUAGAAAUUACCCGCGAA